RNAcentral lists this ribosomal RNA (468 nucleotides) under uncultured bacterium. RNAcentral's name for it is "partial 16S ribosomal RNA". It matches the Rfam family "Bacterial small subunit ribosomal RNA", at positions 28 to 507 of the family's 1533-position model. The record is from RNAcentral.
GACGAACGCUGGCGGCGUGCUUAACACAUGCAAGUCGAACGGAAAGGCCCUGCUUUUGGGGGGUGCUCGGGUGGCGAACGGGUGAGUCACAAGUGAGUAACCUGCCCUUGACUUUGGGAUAACUUCAAGUAACUGGGACUAAUACCGGAUAGGCGCUCCUCCUGCAUGGUGGGGGUUAGAAAGUUUCGGCGGUUGGGGAUGGACUCGCGGCUUAUCUGCUUGUUGGGGGGGUAUUGGCUUACCAAGGCUUUGGGGGGUAGCCGGCUGGGGAGGGGGACCGGCCACAUUGGGACGGGGAUACGGCCCAGACCCCACGGGGGGGCAGCGGGGGGGAUUAUGGCACAUGGGGCGGAAGCCUGAUGCAGCAACGCCGCGGGCGGGAUGACGGCUUUCGGGUGGAAACCGGUUUCCGCAUGUGACGAAGUGGGAGUGACGGUAAUGGGUAAAGAAGCACCGGCUAACUACGUG